UACGUAGGGUGCAAGCGUUGUCCGGAAUUAUUGGGCGUAAAGAGCUUGUAGGCGGUUUGUCGCGUCUGCUGUGAAAUUUCGGGGCUCAACCCCGAACUUGCAGUGGGUACGGGCAGGCUAGAGUGUGGUAGGGGAGACUGGAAUUCCUGGUGUAGCGGUGAAAUGCGCAGAUAUCAGGAGGAACACCGAUGGCGAAGGCAGGGCGCUGGGCCACGACUGACGCUGAGAAGCGAAAGCAUGGGGAGCGAACAGG
RNAcentral lists this ribosomal RNA (253 nucleotides) under uncultured bacterium. RNAcentral describes it as "partial 16S ribosomal RNA". It matches the Rfam family "Bacterial small subunit ribosomal RNA", at positions 524 to 776 of the family's 1533-position model. The record is from RNAcentral.